ACCUGUGUGGGGGAAACAAGAGCAGGAGGUGAACUGUGUUGACAGACUCGCAGAUGAAUAUGGAGCCAAGUAUAGGAAUAGAUUGAAACCCCGGGACCUGAUUUUCCUUCCUUUCAUAUUCUCGGAGAUUGAUUUCUAUGUCACAGAAUUAGCAUUCUAAGUUAAGAACCGAAACCAAAGGAGCCUUCUCUCCGUGUCAGCUGAUUCCCAACACAGGUAACGCUGUAAUCAAAUAGUUUCAGGCUUUUCCUCACUUCUUUUUUUCCAGUUCCUCUUCCCCACCCUGCCCCCAGUCUCGCUCCUGGCAGGCACAGAGUCCUGGACAAUCAGACCAUUGUCUAAAGCUCUCCGCAGCCUCAUUCUCCUACAGAUCCAAUGCAGGCACUCCUCACGUAGCCCCAGACAUGGCUAUUUCACUUGCAUCCACCUAAGGCUCUGUGUUCUCGGCAGGUGUUUCAUGAAGCUUCGCUAGGCACUACAAUGGUAUACACCCCAAGAGCCAAGGAGCAAAGCAAACCCACCACACCUCUUUGUUCCUUGGGAUCCAGGCGAGAUAGCUAAAAAAGAGUUUAAAAAACAGUGCUCAGGACAAGCCUGUCGAGUAGCUUUAAGGCUGACCACACGGCACGGGUUUAAGAAAACUGCUUUUUCUCCAUGCUUUUUACUGUUAGUUUGAAUACAAUAGACGCGUUCUUAAAGUGUGUUAAUAUCUUUUCUAAGCACAGGCUAUUUUCCCUGUAGAGGCAGGCAAUGCAGCAAUCGGUACGAGAAAUCCACAGAGACACCACAGAACCAGGAGGCAAACAAUGCUCGGGACGCCUGGUAAAUUCACUCAGGCAAAAAGCACAUCCCAGAAGUCCUUCUCCAGACACACUCCAAUUGGAGAGGAGCUUUUUUAGCAUUUCAGAACAGCCGCUUCAAACUGUUAAUUCCAUUUUCCUUGUAUUCUUUCACUUGCAUACAUAAUAAUUUUGGUCGUUUCAUUACUUCUCGAUACCAGGCACAGAUGAUGUUGACAAGCUAUGUGCUAUAAUAGAUUAUAAAUCUCUCUUAUUUUAGUUCUUUUUUUGUUUUGUUUUGUUUUGUUUUGUUUUGUUUGUUUGCUUUUAGGUUAGUGGUUCCUAUCUGGGCGGCAGCAAAACAGAUUUACAUAACCCAACAAAGGAGACACUGAUUGAGGAGAGCGGCGCUGUAUCCAUCACAGCCAAGUUGCUGCUGUCCUUAAUGGAUUUUAACACACAAAAGCUAUUGCACCUAUGGGAUGGUCCUGUUGUGAAGUGCAGGCGGUAGCGGUGCAUAUCAAAGCCCCAGCUGCUGCCAAUGCGUGGUGGGAUGAAGGCAGCAUCCAGCCUGCCCACACCGAGCCCCAUGCCAUGGGUUGGGAGCACGCUGCCGAAGUGCUCGCAGUUCUACCACAGCUAUUUGCUGCUUUUAACUCACAUUUUUUUUUUCACUCUUUCGUGGAAGCAGUAUUUUGUGCUGCUGAGGAAAGUUGAUUUCCUCAUUGCUCUGUUUUCCAAGCAAAAUGAAGAAAACUCGAGUCAUCAUCUUUGCAAGGAAGCACACUUAGCAAAUUAAAUGCCAAGACUUUGCAAGUUGCUGUUAUUUGCAGUGUCAAGCAGCUGGAGCAUUUUUUGCUUAUAAACAUACAGACGGCUGCGUUGUCAGACAGAUUGAAGAGAGUCAGGUAGCGACUUGCAUCGCACUGCGCAGAGGUUUUAAGGGUCUCUUAAUUUGUGCAGGGUGGAGGUUGCCAGCAGGCAUAUUAAUGUUCUAUUUAUCUGUGUUUGCGUUUGUGUUUGUCUUUGCUUCUGUGCUGAUGAUGGCUUUGGAAGCAAAUCAGCUGCUCUGUAAUGCACAGCGGUGGCUCCAGCAGUCGUGUGUAGGAACUGCUGACACUGAGCAGCCCACUACGUCGGGGACAUGGUAUUUAUCCUCUGCAGAGAGAAAGGGCUCUUUGUGCCUGGGUAAUAAUGCAGGUAGUCCUCCUCAGUAAACUCUAUCCUGAGGUGAAGAUUUAGAACAACCAAGGCAGUGACUCAGGAAAGAAACCUCAAAAGAGAGAUUCCCAUGAAACCACUAAGCCCCGUUUAUAGGUGUUCUUGGUCUGUGGAAGCACACGUUUUUGCUUUUAAUAGCGUUUUUAGUGCUACAUAAUGGAGCAUAAAUUAAUACUCUGUUGGAUAUGGACUUCUCAAAAUCCUGUCUUCUGUUCAUAAUCUUCCAAUAAAAGUUUAUUUUGAACUAAAAGUUGGGGCUGGAAGUCAAACUGGGCUGGGUGAAAUCUACAAAUGCAACAAGGAAGGAACAGCAGUACUGCAGCACUGUUUCUUAAGAUUUCUUAAACAUUCCCUUAAGAAAGAAAGGAAGAAAAACCCAAAACCUCACAGUGUAACAAACACUAGUCCAGUGGUUGGUGACCUUGCCCAAACACUGGUCUAGUGAUUGGUGACCCUGCCCGUGGCAGGGGGGUUGAAACUAGAUGAUCUCUGAGGUCCUUUUCAACCCAGGCCAUUCUAUGAUUCUAUGAUUCUCUGAAAAAUAAAAUACUGCUGUUGAGACUGUGAUGAAAUGCACUCCCCACCUUGUUUCUGUACUGCGUGGGUUCAGCUUUAUCUUGUUUAUUCUCUCCAUCCCCAGGGAGUAAGACACAGUGCCGGCGCUCUCCAAGGUGGGGCUCUGUGCCCCAAUCCCGUGUUGGGCCGGAGCUGGGGACUCAUCCAAACCCACUCACUCACAGCAGGCUUAGCUCAAGGUUGGAUCCUCAAGGGACGGGCAGCAGCUGGCCUUUGGCACCGCCUGCAAAAGGGAAUCUUCCUCCCACUGCCGGUGAAUGGCUUCAGAGCCCCUUUACACCGUGGAUUCACUGUCAACAUACUUUUGUUUUGACUUAGUGACUGAAAUAAAGUGAUUAUUCCCCUUUUCCACCAGUAUUAUGUCUGUGUCAUAGUGGAUUUGGACAUUCCUUUUCAGGUAUUUAUAUAGCAAAAAAUCCAGCACCAAUGGCCUGUCUACUUGGAUUUUCUUCCCUUGAUUGAGUCGUCUCAACCGGGUUGACAAAAACCCAUUUUAAGCAACUUUAGAAGUGGUUGAGUUCAGUCAAACCAUGCAGAGUGUGACACGAGCCUGCCCACAAGUAUCAGAGUCCCAUGCAGGCUGUCACCCUACCCACCUUGCUGCUGCUGGAGCUGGAACCUACCACCAAAAAUCACUGCUUCAUUCUUGAGCCCCUCUCUUCAUUCUCCCUAGUUUAAUUUGGUAGGAUGUUGGCAAAGCUGUCCUGGGCAAUUUUUGCAUCUAUUUUCUUUUAAACCAUUAUUUGGACACAAUGGUUUCUGGCCCUACUAAUGCAAUUCAUAAUUCCCUUCUCCAUGUGUGAUAUGCCAAAGGACCUCUAGUUAUCCUGUGACAAGAAGAACCAUCUGCAUGGUUCCUGUCCUAAGGUCUGCAUCACAGAUCACACUGACUUGUAAAGCAGUUUUUGAGAAUAAAGGAUUAUAUUCAUGGAUCAUGUGGAAGAAGAAUACAGGGACAGAGAACAUAGAAUGUUUAUUGCCAACUCGUACCAUGCCCUCUUUCAGUCUGUGAUUUCAGUCUUAAUCAAGAAAACAGCUGUAGAACAAAAUGGGUCAGAAUAUUACCAGAUGAGCAGAACUUGCUGCACACUGGUUUCAAUUUGACCGAUCUUUAUGCAAAAGCACUUUCACAAAUGAGUGUGUAACUUCAGAUAGAAACUUGUGGUAAAAUCUUCAGUGUAUUGCCAGGACUUUCACUUGAGGUUUGAAAUCAGUGGCCAUGGCAUAGAAGAGAACAGAAAGUGCAGAUUGCAAUAGAAAGUUGUAUUUUAAGUCAUAGAUGGUAAAUCCUAGAAAAAAUAUAUAUACAAAAAAUUGAUACGAUUCUUUUCGUGUCAUGAGGAGGCAAAGAAAUCAUACAAAGUGUAGUGAAAAAGACCUGAUGCAUUGGGUAUAUUUCUCUUGUUUUCCCAGUAUCAGACAAUACUAAAGCAGGUGAAAAAUACCUUCUUACAGCUGGUGAGCAUCGGUACAUUUAUUAGCAUUUUGUAUUACAAAAAAUUACCUCUACAACUGCUGAGAAUGUUUAAAUGCAAUAUGGCUUUUGUCCAUCCCUGUUCUAAACAGCCUCGCCUUUUUAAAUCUGUGAAAGAUUAAACUGUGCACAAUCCAAAUUUUCCUUCUUUAAUGAUCAGGACUAAAAUUCAGUUUUUAUUCACAGAGCUGAAGACGGCAUCAAAUAAAUAAAGAUCAUUUAGAGAGCCCUCAGAGAGGACCUUUGCAUAUUCAUGGGCUGAAUUAUUUAAAUACAGGAGGUAGUUAUUUGAUAGUAAGGAUUCUACUUAUUAGGAUCAAUGAGUGUUGUGAGAAUAAGCAAGAAGAAAUCAUAAGUUUUUAUUUUGCCUUGGACAGAAGGAGAUCACAUUUGCUAUUUACGGUGUACAAUCUCUCAGUUAGCAAUCUUGGCAAAGGUUUAUCUAGUUAUUCGGAAUAAUGUCCUCCCAGAUAUGACACUAUCACUGUGCCUGCUACAGAACUGUCCCCGCAGUUUCCUCGGCCAUUUACCUGUGUGUUGUCACACUCAUUCCUGCUGAUUUGUGUCACAAGAAAAAAAGUAGGUUUCAAAAUUAAAGCUUCAUGUGGAAUGAUAUGAAGUGUGAAAUCCAGACCCAUUGCUUUCAUUCUGGCUUUAGUGAUCACAGAAACCUGCUGUAGGGCAGGAGUAAUCUGCCAGAAAAUUAUUAUUGAGCCCUGGUAACUCAGAUAUAUGUGCAGACAUGAAAAUGUUGCUUUUUGUGCCAACUCUAGGUCCUAUAAGAACCUUGCAUGCCAUCUUCCACCUGGCUUGAAAAUAUGCUGCAUUCCACUGUAAAGGAGAGGAAGUUUGUUAAUUCCCAGGCAGCUGUGAACAAUUUAAUCUCUUUCCAGACAGCCCGGCAUCCCAUUCCAAUUGUGGAGCUUCUUGGGGGAUGGAGAGUUUGAAGAGCUGGUGAGAGAUAAUAGGGCCUUUAUUCCAAGGUCAUUCCUAUGAGUUUGGCCUUGACAGUAACAUCUUGAUAAGAGGGUUGCCAAUUCAAGCAGUCUCAUAAUAGGAUUUUUGAAGCUUCUUCCUCCAUAUGCUGGAAUGGAGGGCUUGAAACUUAGUGUUUGGAGCCUCAAAUGACUGCUCUGUUAAACCUAGGAAAUUAGCUGGAGAAGCAUAGUUCAAAAAGGAAAAAAUCCUGCGAUUUUUAAGAUGAUAGAGUUCUUAUUCUGAACACUGCUUGUUGGCACGCCUGGGAUUUCCCAAUCUGCCUGUGAGGGCUGAGCUGGUAAUUUGCCUUGGGUUUCUUGACAAGACUCUAAGUUACUGAGCUCUUCUCCUCUCAAGGCUUCUCUAUGUAUAUUCAAAAAUACAGAAAACUCCAAACAAAUGCACCAGUCUUCUUGUUCUCUCUUUGGGAAUUUAUUUUGAAAAAUCAAAGAAUCACAAAGAAUUGCCGUAAAACACUAAUGCCCACUUCCCAGAACCAAUAACUUUGCUCUGGCUUCUAGAAAGUCUCCAAACCUAAAAAAAA
Gallus gallus (chicken) is the source of this 5572-nucleotide long non-coding RNA. RefSeq lists it as uncharacterized. The transcript has 3 exons. Lineage: Eukaryota; Metazoa; Chordata; Aves; Galliformes; Phasianidae. The record is from RefSeq and is a predicted model, not a curated record.